This 22-nucleotide unclassified non-coding RNA is filed under the name Mus musculus (house mouse). RNAcentral's name for it is "oocyte_clustered_small_RNA6623". The record is from RNAcentral. Lineage: Eukaryota; Metazoa; Chordata; Mammalia; Rodentia; Muridae.
UACAUGUCUGAAAGAAGUGUCC